This 429-nucleotide ribosomal RNA is filed under the name Bacteroidota bacterium. Its description in RNAcentral is "Bacteroidetes bacterium partial 16S ribosomal RNA". It matches the Rfam family "Bacterial small subunit ribosomal RNA", at positions 355 to 776 of the family's 1533-position model. The record is from RNAcentral. Lineage: Bacteria; Pseudomonadati; Bacteroidota.
UAGGGAAUCUUCGGCAAUGGGGGGAACCCUGACCGAGCAACGCCGCGUGAGUGAAGAAGGUUUUCGGAUCGUAAAGCUCUGUUGUUAAGGAAGAACGAGUGUGAGAAUGGAAAGUUCAUACUGUGACGGUACUUAACCAGAAAGGGACGGCUAACUACGUGCCAGCAGCCGCGGUAAUACGUAGGUCCCGAGCGUUGUCCGGAUUUAUUGGGCGUAAAGCGAGCGCAGGCGGUUAGAAAAGUCUGAAGUGAAAGGCAGUGGCUCAACCAUUGUAGGCUUUGGAAACUGUUUAACUUGAGUGCAGAAGGGGGGAGUGGAAUUCCAUGUGUAGCGGUGAAAUUCGUAGUUAUAUGGAGGAACACCGGUGGCGAAAGCGGCUCUCUGGUCUGUAACUGACGCUGAGGCUCGAAAGCGUGGGGAGCGAACAGG